This 465-nucleotide ribosomal RNA is filed under the name uncultured bacterium. Its description in RNAcentral is "partial 16S ribosomal RNA". It matches the Rfam family "Bacterial small subunit ribosomal RNA", at positions 339 to 795 of the family's 1533-position model. The record is from RNAcentral.
CUACGGGAGGCUCCAGUGGGGAAUAUUGGACAAUGGGGGAAACCCUGAUCCAGCAAUGCCGCGUGUGUGAAGAAGGCCUGCGGGUUGUAAAGCACUUUCGGUUGGGAGGACUGCUUCUAGCACUAAUAUUGUUGGAAGUUGACGUUACCUUCAGAAGAAGCACCGGCUAACUCCGUGCCAGCAGCCGCGGUAAUACGGAGGGUGCAUGCGUUAAUCGGAAUUACUGGGCGUAAAGCGCGCGUAGGCGGCUAGAUCAGUCGGGUGUGAAAGCCCCGGGCUUAACCUGGGAACUGCAUCCGAUACUGUCUAGCUUGAGUACAGGAGAGGAGAGUGGAAUUCCACAUGUAGCGGUGAAAUGCGUAGAUAUGUGGAGGAACACCAAUGGCGAAGGCAGCUCUCUGGCCUGAUACUGACGCUGAGGUGCGGAAGCGUGGGGAGCAAACAGGAUUAGAUACCCUUGUAGUC